GAUGAACGCUGGCGGCGUGCCUAAUACAUGUAAGUCGAGCGAACAGACGAGGAGCUUGCUCCUCUGACGUUAGCGGCGGACGGGUGAGUAACACGUGGAUAACCUACCUAUAAGACUGGGAUAACUUCGGGAAACCGGAGCUAAUACCGGAUAAUAUAUUGAACCGCAUGGUUCAAUAGUGAAAGACGGUUUUGCUGUCACUUAUAGAUGGAUCCGCGCCGCAUUAGCUAGUUGGUAAGGUAACGGCUUACCAAGGCAACGAUGCGUAGCCGACCUGAGAGGGGGAUCGGCCACACUGGAACUGAGACACGGUCCAGACUCCUACGGGAGGCAGCAGUAGGGAAUCUUCCGCAAUGGGCGAAAGCCUGACGGAGCAACGCCGCGUGAGUGAUGAAGGUCUUCGGAUCGUAAAACUCUGUUAUUAGGGAAGAACAAAUGUGUAAGUAACUAUGCACGUCUUGACGGUACCUAAUCAGAAAGCCACGGCUAACUACGUG
This 497-nucleotide ribosomal RNA is filed under the name uncultured bacterium. RNAcentral's name for it is "partial 16S ribosomal RNA". It matches the Rfam family "Bacterial small subunit ribosomal RNA", at positions 28 to 507 of the family's 1533-position model. The record is from RNAcentral.